RNAcentral lists this ribosomal RNA (484 nucleotides) under uncultured bacterium. RNAcentral describes it as "bacterial SSU rRNA". It matches the Rfam family "Bacterial small subunit ribosomal RNA", at positions 23 to 507 of the family's 1533-position model. The record is from RNAcentral.
CUCAGGAUGAACGCUGGCGGCGUGCCUAACACAUGCAAGUCGAGCGAGAAUUUACAGAUUGAAGCUUCGGCAGAUUUCUGUAAAGGAAAGCGGCGGACGGGUGAGUAACGCGUGAGUAACUUGCCCUUAGGUGGGGGAUAACACAUCGAAAGGUGUGCUAAUACCGCAUAACAUAUGUUUACCGCAUGGUAGAUAUAUCAAAGAUUUAUUGCCUAAGGAUGGACUCGCGUCUGAUUAGAUAGUUGGUGAGGUAACGGCUCACCAAGUCGACGAUCAGUAGCCGAACUGAGAGGUUGAUCGGCCACAUUGGGACUGAGACACGGCCCAGACUCCUACGGGAGGCAGCAGUGGGGAAUAUUGCGCAAUGGGGGAAACCCUGACGCAGCAACGCCGCGUGAAGGAUGAAGGUCUUCGGAUUGUAAACUUUUGUCUUAUGGGACGAAAAAGGACGGUACCAUAGGAGGAAGCCACGGCUAACUACGUG